UUUCUCAUGCCAACAAAUCAAUAAAAUUAAUAUUAUUUUAGAAAGUACAAUAUUUUUCUUUUACAUUUGUAUACACAAAGUGAAAUCUUAAUUAAGAUAUUGUGUUUGUAUAUACAUUCUACAAUAAUACAUGAAACAAGAUCCUAAUACAAGACUAGUUAUAUAAGAGUGAAAAGUACUUAAAUAAGAAAUCCUAAAAGCCUUCAUAGUCUUCAACUUUCAUCCAUCGUUUCCAUCUACACAAUCGCUUAAGGGUAUACUUAUAUUUCUCACCUUUCAUAAGAGUGAAAGAUACUGUACGACCUACCUUUGCUUCAAUGCCAGAUAAUUUAUUUAUUUUUAUGUGUGGAAAGACGCAACUUUUGAACCAAGCCCACGAAUUGACCCAUCAACACUUCCAAAGUUUGUUGGAACAACAGGUGAUAAGGCUCCAGCAGAACUGAUAAGAUUUUCAAAUAGAAAGUCAGUUAAAUUCUAGUAGUACAUCAAACCAAGCUUUAGUUCAUAACUAAAAGAUAGUAGAUCACAGCAAAAAUCAAACCUAACAAAUGAAAAGAUGAUCAAGAACAAAGCAAUCAAGGAACACUAUAGAACUCAAUAGCUUCAAAGGAACACUAUAUAACUCAAUAGCUUCCAAGGAACACUACAUAACUCAAUCAAGACACACUACAAAACUUAUAACUGAUAUGUUCUAUUACUAAUAGAUUCCAAGGGCUAGAUCUAAUUCUUAUCAAUAUAACAUGAUUUUUUUUUUUAAAAUAGUGUGUGAUCUAUGCUCAAGAGUCUAAAAAUUAAACCCACAAUUAUUAUUAGUUUUGAGUACAUUCACGAUAAUUGAACAAUUGUUAACUAAAUCUUCCAAACAAAUAAUGUGGGUUCAGUUAGCCAUUCAAAUUUCAUCAGACUAUAUUAGAAAAAAAAAAUUAUGCUUUAGACUAAGAAAAAUAACUAUUGUAAAAGAACACGAAAAACCUUGAAAAUCCUAUGAGUGCAACAUGCUUGUGGCCAUAUUUCGUAACGUUAUAUAUGCAAAAGAAAUAUAUUUGUAUAUAUAUAAUGAAAAUUUAUGAACCUACACAUGCGCACAUCUAAUGAUAAUUACUUACUCUGCAUUUUUCAUUUUGGCAAAUCCAUCUCCAAGAAUGUUGUAAGUUACCAAGCUCAUUUCUAUGCCUUCUUUCAUUUUUCUAACACAAGAUAGUAUGAAUAAGGCUGCACAUCAUUAAAGCUUACUCUUAUCGCAAGGCGACACUGUUGAAAAAACAUUUAGAUUUAAUUAAUAUAGUAAAUAUACUUUGGCAAUGACAUAUCUACCAUCAGAGUAUAUAUUUCAAGCAUAAAAUACAUAAUUGACCUUCUAUACAAAUAAAUCAAACUUUAAUCAUAUCCAAAACUGGAAUGGUGACCUUUGUAUUGCAUCAAACCUUAUAGAACACAAGCUCGACUAGCAACUUCUCAAUUUGGCUUCGCAUUUUCUGUAUUUGAGCUCCUAAAGGAUCUCAUUUGAUCUAAAAACAAAAAAUAUUAAUAGUAAUGAAGAAAGCAGUCAAUAGUCUCCCUAAUAACUCCUAUAAACACACAAAAAAAAAAAAAACAUUGUUCUCCGUAAAUUCUUUUGUAGACUGACAAUGAAAAAGUUCAAACAAAGUGCCGUGAAAGUCAAGGGAUAUCUCAAAUGACUAUGAGCAAAUUUAUCAACAUAUAAAUAAGAAUAGAAAUUAACCAGAUUUUAAGAACAUCUGUUGCUCAUUCCCCUUGUCUUACAUGACCAGAUCAUAAUGCAAGACUUGAUAAGUAUACCCACUUGCUCUCCACAUAAUGCUUUUGAGAUAUUUCCAACCGCGAGAAGAUUAAAGAGGACAACUAUAAAAAUAAAUUUUGGUAGGAUUUCAUUAUGAUUUUUCAACAACAAUGCAAUAAAGUGAAAAAAGAAACUGAAAUCCUAAGAACCUGAGGACCAUUUAAACAUUAUAUAAUUUUAGAUUCUAGCAUCUACUCUACCUCAUGGAUGAAAGCACAUCAAAACUUAUAUUUUUAGUGCUAUAACAUUUUUUUCAGUUCAACAAAACAUCAAAAUGAAGGUGGGAAAUUCAAUCUUCUAAUUUCUUGUCUGUAUCUUUACUAGGUAAAGUAUACUCAGGUUCGCUAGUAUUAUGAUGUUAAACCAUAAUAUUAAAAUGAUGUAAUUUUUGAAGAAUAAACUUGAAAACGUACCAAGAAGGUUGUUCUCUUCCCAUAAAGUUAAUAUGCAGUAAUGUCCAUGCUAGUGGCACCUCCUGAUACCAAUUCCCUGAAAGACCAAUAAAAUGGUGAAAUUAAGUGAAAAUUUUAAUAUACAAUAAUGCAAAACAAACAAACAAAAUUGUUUAAUAAUAUGC
Molecule: long non-coding RNA, 2378 nt
Filed under: Cucumis sativus (cucumber)
Lineage: Eukaryota; Viridiplantae; Streptophyta; Magnoliopsida; Cucurbitales; Cucurbitaceae
Description: long non-coding RNA (CSAT_LNC001876)
Source: RNAcentral